CCGAAGAUCAUUUUUCAGUUUUUUGAUACAAUGUUUUGACUCUCCGUCUUAUUUGAAAUUUUUUGCGAUUAAUAUUUUUAUUCUUACUAGAUGAUAAAACAUAAAUAGUACUUUAUGCAUGACUAAUUUUAUUUUUAUUUUUAUUUUUUUAACAAAUUUUUCAAAUAAGACAAAUAGUCAACGUUGGACACAGAAAA
RNAcentral lists this microRNA precursor (197 nucleotides) under Oryza brachyantha (malo sina). RNAcentral describes it as "MIR812 microRNA precursor family". It matches the Rfam family "MIR812 microRNA precursor family". Lineage: Eukaryota; Viridiplantae; Streptophyta; Magnoliopsida; Poales; Poaceae. The record is from Rfam by way of RNAcentral.